RNAcentral lists this unclassified non-coding RNA (336 nucleotides) under soil metagenome. RNAcentral describes it as "partial contains 5.8S ribosomal RNA, internal transcribed spacer 2, and large subunit ribosomal RNA". The stretch from base 1 to 120 matches the Rfam family "5.8S ribosomal RNA", at positions 35 to 154 of the family's 154-position model. The record is from RNAcentral.
GAUGAAGAACGCAGCGAAAUGCGAUAAGUAGUGUGAAUUGCAGAAUUCAGUGAAUCAUCGAAUCUUUGAACGCACAUUGCGCCCCUUGGUAUUCCAUGGGGCAUGCCUGUUCGAGCGUCAUUUGUACCUUCAAGCUUUGCUUGGUGUUGGGUGUUUGUCUCGCCUUUGCGUGUAGACUCGCCUUAAAAUAAUUGGCAGCCGUCGUAUUGAUUUCGGAGCGCAGUACAUCUCGCGCUUUGCACUCAUAACGACAGCGUCCAAAAGUACAUUUUACACUCUUGACCUCGGAUCAGGUAGGGAUACCCGCUGAACUUAAGCAUAUCAAUAAGCGGAGGA